Long non-coding RNA from Portunus trituberculatus (swimming crab), 952 nucleotides. RefSeq lists it as uncharacterized. Lineage: Eukaryota; Metazoa; Arthropoda; Malacostraca; Decapoda; Portunidae. The record is from RefSeq and is a predicted model, not a curated record. The transcript is spliced from 2 exons.
GAAGAACAGUGAGACGCGUCUCGUUCGCGUUCAGUAGUCAGUACGGGAGUCCAUCGUAGCAAGUACCGGGCGAGAGCUGAACUGGGUUCUUAUUCCAACUUCCCUCAGUUUGGUGAAGAUCGUGGUCUUAAACAGGCAUAGUGAUAAGUGACAACAAUGACCAGGCACAGCUCUGGGCCUUGAAGUGUGACCCUGAGCUCAUCCAAAAUGAGCGGAGCAACGUGUGUUUCUUCAGGGACAGCAGAGGGCACUUGGAGCACUGACGAGUGGGCAGCCAGCACAUGCACACGGUGUGAGCGAGUGCACAAAACUUAUUACAAGGAUCGGAGAGGAGAGAAACUUGACAUUGAUUUGGGUACCAUCCCAUGUUGGUGUGUUAGGUCAUGAAAAAGCUGACCACUUAGCACAAAAUGGAACAGAAAGAGAUCAAACUGUAGAACAAGCUUGUCACAAAUAGAUAAGAAAAUGACAAAUAUACAUGUUGAGCAAGAACAAGGUGCAAUUCUACAUAAAGGCGAAGUGAGCUAGUGAAACAAUGAAACACUACACCAAAGCACAAAGUGGCGCCAAUUUCACAUCUGGAAAAUAUGGAGUCAGCUGGAAAGACAGCGUGUGUGCCGGACUGAGCUUUGGAUACAAACAUUACUGGGAACUGGGCGUGUCAUGUGAGGCUCCGGCCAGGGAGGGAGUGUCGCCCAUGCUGUGAGCCUGACGCCCACUCCGUGCUGCAGUGCCCCGAGCUGGCAUGUGCCACAAAUAAUGCCAUCCACACCACAUAUGGAUGUUUAACAAUGGGAACAUUACACAACUGCUAUUGCUAUUCAAAACAAAUACAUCAAACAACUUAUACGCUACAUUGAAAACAAGUUAUAUAUGUGUAUAUGCAUAGAAUAGCUAAGUAUUCUGCACUAACAUUACUUAUAUAUUGUAAAUAUAUAUUAUAUAAUUAUUA